RNAcentral lists this ribosomal RNA (482 nucleotides) under Yersinia enterocolitica. RNAcentral's name for it is "bacterial SSU rRNA". It matches the Rfam family "Bacterial small subunit ribosomal RNA", at positions 1050 to 1531 of the family's 1533-position model. Lineage: Bacteria; Pseudomonadati; Pseudomonadota; Gammaproteobacteria; Enterobacterales; Yersiniaceae. The record is from RNAcentral.
UGUCGUCAGCUCGUGUUGUGAAAUGUUGGGUUAAGUCCCGCAACGAGCGCAACCCUUAUCCUUUGUUGCCAGCACGUCAUGGUGGGAACUCAAAGGAGACUGCCGGUGAUAAACCGGAGGAAGGUGGGGAUGACGUCAAGUCAUCAUGGCCCUUACGAGUAGGGCUACACACGUGCUACAAUGGCAGAUACAAAGUGAAGCGAACUCGCGAGAGCAAGCGGACCACAUAAAGUCUGUCGUAGUCCGGAUUGGAGUCUGCAACUCGACUCCAUGAAGUCGGAAUCGCUAGUAAUCGUAGAUCAGAAUGCUACGGUGAAUACGUUCCCGGGCCUUGUACACACCGCCCGUCACACCAUGGGAGUGGGUUGCAAAAGAAGUAGGUAGCUUAACCUUCGGGAGGGCGCUUACCACUUUGUGAUUCAUGACUGGGGUGAAGUCGUAACAAGGUAACCGUAGGGGAACCUGCGGUUGGAUCACCUCCU